GCUGGGCGUGGUGGCGCACGCCUGUAAUCCCAGCUACUUGGGAGGCUGAGGCACGAGAACUGCUUGAACCCAGGAGGUGGAGGUUGCAGUGAGCCGAGAUCCCAUCACUGAACUCCACCCUGGGCAACAGAGUGAGACUCUGUCUCAA
This 148-nucleotide non-coding RNA is filed under the name Chlorocebus sabaeus (green monkey). Lineage: Eukaryota; Metazoa; Chordata; Mammalia; Primates; Cercopithecidae. The record is from Rfam by way of RNAcentral.